Podarcis lilfordi (Lilford's wall lizard) is the source of this 74-nucleotide non-coding RNA. The record is from the annotation of a GenBank genome assembly. NCBI's taxonomy places the organism in Eukaryota, Metazoa, Chordata, Lepidosauria, Squamata, Lacertidae.
GCUGGGAUAACUCAGUUGGUACAGAAUGAGACUCUUAAUCUCACAUGUCGUGAGUUUGAGUCCCACGUUGGGCA